CGGUGAGGGGAAUGAUGUAUUACUAUCGUGCCCUUGAGUUGCUGGCUUUUCUGGAUUCUGCUUCUGAGAUGGACAUGAGAG
Erythranthe guttata (spotted monkey flower) is the source of this 81-nucleotide non-coding RNA. The record is from Rfam. Lineage: Eukaryota; Viridiplantae; Streptophyta; Magnoliopsida; Lamiales; Phrymaceae.